Molecule: long non-coding RNA, 4582 nt
Organism: Prosopis cineraria
Lineage: Eukaryota; Viridiplantae; Streptophyta; Magnoliopsida; Fabales; Fabaceae
Exons: 9
Source: RefSeq, a predicted model, not a curated record
GGAUUUUAAGAAGUGAGAUAUGGGAGGAGAGGAGUAAUAGCAAAAUUCUCCCAGCUUUGAGAUUGAGCUAUAGUUACCUCUCCUCUCAUCUCAAGAGAUGCUUCGCAUAUUGCUCGUUGUUCCCCAAAGAUUAUGACUUUGACAAGGAACAUCUAAUUCAAUUGUGGAUGGCUGAAAAUUUCUUACCUUGUGCUCAUCAAAGCAAAGAUGCUAAGGAAAUUGGAGAACAAUUCUUCCAUGAUCUAUUGUCGAGAUCUCUUUUCCAACGAUCAACUGUAGAUGAAAUGCAUUUCAUCAUGCAUGACCUUAUAAAUGAUUUGGCAAAAGAUGAGUAUGGAAAAUUUUGCUAUAGGUUAGAAGUAGACGAAGGAAAUGACUUGACCGAAAUGACCCGCCAUGUUUCAUAUUUAAGAAAUGUAUUUGAAACUUCUAAAAGGUUUAAGGUUAUAUGCCAGGCUAAUAGAUUGCGCACAUUCUUGCCUCACCCUUGCCGCGAAUUGCAUGCUGGAUGUCUAGCAAGGUUAUAAAUGAUUUGCUCUCGACGUUUAGUUGCAUCCGGGUUUUAUCUUUGUCUUAUUCUCAUCACAUUGUCGAAUUGCCUGAUUCAAUAGGAAACCUUAAACAUAUACGAUAUCUAGACUUUUCAGAUACUGGCAUAAGGAAAUUACCUGAUUCAAUAUGUCAGCUUUAUCAUUUACAAACAUUAAAGCUGUGGCGUUGUCGCUUUCUGGAAAAGUUACCGGCGGCUUUGCAUAAACUCAUGAAUUUGAGGCAUCUUGAUUUUCGUGAAACUCGGGUGAGAGAGAUGCCGAAGCAGUUGGGUGAAUUGAAAAAUCUUAUGGUAUUGUCAUCAUUUAUUGUGGGCAAAUGUGGAGAGACUGACAUCAAACAGAUACAAGAACUAAAUCUUUGUGGAUCAAUUUCCAUCUUAGAGUUACAAAAUGUAAUUUCUCCAGCGGAUGCUUCAGAAGUCAAUUUGAAAAGUAAGAUAUACUUGGAGGAGUUGUCAUUAGAGUGGAAUAUGGACCAUGAAAAUUCACACAAUGAUAAGGACGUGCUAGAGAAGCUGCAACCUCAUCAAAACUUAAAAAAGCUUUUAAUUAGAAAUUAUGGGGGCAUCGAGUUUCCAAAUUGGUUUACGGGUCUUUCAUUUCCCAACAUCGUGUCCCUAGAGCUGACGAAUUGUAAAAACUGUUUUUCCUUACCAUUGGCAAACCUCCUUCCAUCUCUCAAUUCACUGUUAAUUAUAGGGUUUGCUAAUCUAGUAGCUAUUGGUCCUGAAUUUUAUGGAAAUAACUUAACUAACUACACCAUCCUCAGAAAUCUCCUGUGCUUUCCCGAAUCUUCAAGUAUUGUCUAUAGAAGACUGUCCCAAACUUGAAGGGCACCUUCUUCCACAAUUUCCUUCUCUAAGGACGCUAGUAAUUGAAAAUUGCGAGAAACUUGUGGCUUCAAUUCAAUGCACUCCAUCUCUUCAUAAAUUGUUUCUAAAACAUUGUGCAAAGAUGCAGUUGGAAUGUCUUCCAUCAACUUUAAAAGUUCUCCACAUUUCUGGAUACUUCACAGAGAUCUUAUCAAUUGAAAAGAUUGUGAAUACCAUUGUCCAUUCCAAUCUUGAACGGUUGAAUUUUUCUGAUUGUCCCCUGUUGGAAUUCCCGUCUUGCUAUUGUCAUAACUUCAUUCUUGAAAUGAACAUGAGAGGAAGAUGAGACUCUGUGAAGUCUUUUCCACUGGAUUUAUUCCCCAAGCUUCAGACAUUGAGGCUGUGGGACUGUAGUAAUCUUGAAAUGAUAUUUUUUCAGAAGGACACCAUGAGUUUCUUUUAAGGUUGGACAUACGGAAGUGUCCAAAAUUUGUAUCAUUUCCCAAAGGAGGAUUUUCCGCCCCCAAACUAGAAUCUUGCAUACUUGCAGAAUUGGAGAAUUUGAAAUUGCUGCCUGAGAAAAUGCACAUCCUCUUUUGCUCGCUCGAACACCUAAUGAUAAAGAGCUGCCCACAAGUGGAAUCACUUCCUAAGGAUGGGUUGCCAUCGAAUCUUAUAGCGUUCGAAGUAUCAGGAUGCCCAAAGCUCAUAAGAACUCGAAUGGGAUUGAAUUUGAAUAGUCUGACUUCUCUACAUUAUUUGAUGAUUGGAGAUGCGAACGAUGUGUCUCUUCCUGAUAUAGGACUACUACCCCCUACUCUUAAUUCCCUUUGGUUCUCUAACUGCCCCAAUCUUAGAACGUUGGAACACAAAGGUCUUUGCCACUUGUCCUCUCUCCAACAUUUGCAUCUUACUGGCUGUCCUAAACUCCAAUGCUUGCCGAAGGAGGGUCUGCCCAGUUCCCUUAUUCGACUAGGUAUCAGUGGCUGUCCCUUGCUCAAAAAGAAGAUCCUAAAACAAAAGGGCAAAUAUUGGGCAAUGAUUUCUCACAUCCCUUUAGUUGAUAUUGACGGUAAUGUAGUCAAUUGAAGUGAGCUUCUCAAUGACAAGUCCAUCAAUUUCAUCCUUCUUGGUUUCUCAUCAGUUGAGACAUUGUAUUAAAGUGAGCCUUUGAUGAUUGCAUCAACCACAAAUCGUACAGCUUCGCAAAGGUACACAUAUGAAAUUGUAUUUCAGUAUUUCUUUUUUCUGUUUUCAAAUCUUUUAGUCAUGUAUUUCAUUUGUUUUUUAUUAUUUUGGCAGAUUUCAUGUCAAAGUGAUAUGUCCAGAUAUAGACAUGAUACUAUGAGCGUGUCAAAGCACAAGCUCUCAUAUUGUCCACUGAACAUAAGAGACUCUUCUAAUAUAUAGACUUCAUGUUGUCCAAUUGCUAAAGAAGCAAUGUUGGGAAAACUAUGCUGGCGCACUGCAACAGGUUGGUUCAUGGAAGCAGUAAAAGGGAAUCCCUCAACUAAGAGGUCCCUAUUACUUCUUUUAAGAAACAACCUGAGAAGGGGCAAAAUAUGAGAAAGGCUUAAUGCUAUCUGGAGGAAAUGAAAGUUCUGCUUCAACUGAGUGAGAUUCAAAUGGUAGAAGCCACUAUUGAAUACCAUUAAUGGAAUAUUGAGCUCCAUUAAUGGUAUGCAAAUAUGGACAUUGGGAGUUUGCUGACAAAAUUUGAAGCUCUCCCAUAAAUUGGUUCUAAAACAUUGUGCAAAGGUGCAGUUGGAAUGUCUUCCAUCUACUCUAAAAGUUCUCCACAUUUCUGGCUACUUCACAUAGAUCUUAUCAAUUCAAAAGAUUGAGAAUACCAUUGCCAAUUCCAAUCUUGAAGAGUUGAUUUUUUCUGAUUGUCCCCUGUUGGAGUUUUCAUCACGCAAUUGUCAUAACUUCAUUCUUGAGAUUUACAUAAGAGGAAGCUGCGACUCUCUCAAGUCUUUUCCGCUGGAUUUAUUCCCCAAGCUUCAGUCUUUAUGGCUGUGGGACUGUCAUAAUCUUGAAAUGAUGUCUGUUUCACAAGGACACCAUUACUCUCGUAGAGACUUGAACAUAUAAAGGUGUCCUAAAUUUGUAUCAUUUCCUAAAGGAGGAUUUUCCGCCCCCAAACUAGAAUAUUGUGUGUUUGUAGAAUUGGAGAAUUUGAAAUUGCUGCCUGGUAAAAUGCGCAUCCUCUUUUGCUCGCUCAAACAUCUAAUAAUAAGGAGCUGCCCGCUAGUGGAAUCAUUUCCUGAGGAUGGGUUGCCAUCGAAUCUUAUAGAGUUUGAUGUAUCAGGAUGCCCAAAACUACUCAUAAGCACUCGAAUGGGAUGGGAUUUGAAUAGUCUGACUUCUCUACGUUAUUUGAUGAUUGGAGAUGCGAACGAUGUGUCUCUUCCUGAUAUAGGACUACUACCCCCUACUCUUAAUUCCCUUUGGUUCUCUAACUGCCCGAAUCUUAGAACGUUGGAACACAAAGGUCUUUGCCACUUGUCCUCUCUUCAACGCUUGUAUCUUCAUGACUGUUCUAAACUCCAAUACUUGCCGAAGGAGGGUCUGCCCAGUUCCCUUAUUCGACUAUGUAUUAGUGGCUGUCCCUUGCUCAAAAAGAAGAUCCAAAAACGAAAGGGCAAAUAUUGGGCAAUGAUUUCUCACAUCCCUUUAGUUAAUAUUGACCGUGAUGUAGUCAAUUGAAGUGAGCUUCUCAAUUACAAGCACAUCAAUUUCAUCCAUCGUAGUUUCUCAUUAGAAACAUGAGGCUUUGACCUACCCUGAAGUCAACAUAGCCUGACUUUCAUAGGAGUGAGAACAAUUGACUAAUGUUGAACAUUAAUCUUCGGUUGAUGAAAUUGGCCCAAAAGUCACGUGGUUUCCAUUGCUGUGGAAUUUGACAGUUGAGACAUUGUAUUAAAGUGAGCAUUUGAUGAUUGCAUCAACCACAAAUCGUACAGCUUCACAAAGAUUUCAUGCCAAAGUGAUAUGUCCAGCAUAUAGACAUGAUAAUAUGAGUGUGUCAAGCACAAGCUCUCAUAUUGUCCACUGAACAUAAGAGUCUUCUACUAUAUGGGCUUCAUGUUGUCCAAUUCCUAAAGAAGAACAUCAGGUACUUGCUCUUAUUUGACAUCUUAUUUUGGGAAAAGUAUGCUGGUACACUGCAACCGGUUGGCUCAUCAAAGCAAUAAAAGGGAAUCCCUCAACUAAGAG